ACUCCUACGGGAGGCAGCAGUGGGGAAUAUUGCACAAUGGGGGAAACCCUGAUGCAGCCAUGCCGCGUGUGUGAAGAAGGCCUUCGGGUUGUAAAGCACUUUCAGUAGGGAGGAAGGUAGUGUAGUUAACACCUGCAUUAUUUGUACGUUACCUACAGAAGAAGCACCGGCUAACUCCGUGCCAGCAGCCGCGGUAAUACGGGAGGGUGCGAGCGUUAAUCGGAAUUACGUGGGCGUAAAGCGCAUGCAGGCGGCCUGUUAAGUCAGAUGUGAAAGCCCGGGGCUUAACCUCGGAAUUGCAUUUGAAACUGGCAGGCUAGAGUCUUGGUAGAGGGGGUUAGAAUUUCAGGUGUAGCGGUGAAAUGCGUAGAGAUCUGAAGGAAUACCGAGU
Molecule: ribosomal RNA, 391 nt
Filed under: uncultured bacterium
Lineage: Bacteria
Description: bacterial SSU rRNA
Rfam family: Bacterial small subunit ribosomal RNA
Source: RNAcentral